UUCCUUUUAUCGUCAACCCGGAGCCCCACGGCAGCUAAUGCAAGAGGCCAAAAAUGUUUUGGAGGAAGAAAAACAAAGGCAGGAAGUGGCGGCGGACUGACGGUGCGUGUGUGCGGAGAAGGGAGGGAGCCGUUUCAAUCUCUUGUUUUCCCAAACUUCUCUUCUUGUUGUUUUUCCAAACUUCAAGGUCUAGGCAG
Molecule: non-coding RNA, 197 nt
Organism: Myotis davidii
Lineage: Eukaryota; Metazoa; Chordata; Mammalia; Chiroptera; Vespertilionidae
Source: Rfam